This is a long non-coding RNA of Thamnophis elegans (Western terrestrial garter snake), 408 nucleotides long. RefSeq lists it as uncharacterized. Lineage: Eukaryota; Metazoa; Chordata; Lepidosauria; Squamata; Natricidae. The transcript is spliced from 3 exons. The record is from RefSeq and is a predicted model, not a curated record.
CCGGGGGGCGCCUCCCCGAAAGAUCGGAGCCGGGGCGUGCGAGGGGACGCGGAAAGCGGGGCUGCCAUCCGGAUCCCUCCGGAGGGAGGCUCCAGUCAGGUGGACCCACCCCACCAAAGCGAAGCAAAGGGAGAACAAUCGCUUCCUUCUCGGGUGAAGUUUUUUUAGGAAGACCUCUUGGAAGGAAGACGCUCAAGAUAGAUCACCAGAAGGAGAUGAGCAGGAAAUUGUGAACGAUCAGAAACUAGAUAUAGCGAUGUCAGAAACAUUGGAGGAAGAAGUGGGACAGGAGACUUCUGAAUACCAGUGGAGCUCAAAGAUACACGAGGAAUACCACCUUCAGUAUAUGGCUCCGCGAAAGUGUAUUAAUUCGCCAGACAGUUUCUGUUUCAUCUGUGGUGAAUAUAC